RNAcentral lists this ribosomal RNA (638 nucleotides) under metal-contaminated soil clone K20-85. RNAcentral's name for it is "bacterial SSU rRNA". It matches the Rfam family "Bacterial small subunit ribosomal RNA", at positions 52 to 653 of the family's 1533-position model. The record is from RNAcentral. Lineage: Bacteria; Candidatus Saccharimonadota.
CACAUGCAAGUCGAACGGUCCAUCUACGGGUGGAUAGUGGCGGACGGGUGAGUAACACGUAGACAACCUGCCUCAUAGUGGGGAAUAACUAUCCGAAAGGGUAGCUAAUACCGCAUGAGUUCUACUCUGUUAGGAGUAGAAGAAACCUCUUUACGGAAGUAAAGGGGGCUAAGAGAGGGGUCUGCGGCGGAUUAGCUAGUUGGGUAGGUAACGGCUGCCCAAGGCGACGAUCCGUAGCUGGUCUGAGAGGACGGCCAGCCACACUGGGACUGAGACACGGCCCAGACUCCUACGGGAGGCAGCAGUGAGGAAUAUUCCACAAUGGGCGAGAGCCUGAUGGAGCGACGCCGCGUGAGGGAAGACGCCUUUCGGGGUGUAAACCUCUUUUAUUGGGGAUGACACGAUGGGGUAACUUCACUUCCUCGCAAGAGGGAGAGGAGAAAGACCGCAUCUAGGACAGUACCCAAUGAAUAAGCCUCGGCUAACUACGUGCCAGCAGCCGCGGUAAUACGUAGGAGGCGAGCGUUGUCCGGAUUUACUGGGCGUAAAGGGCGCGCAGGCGGCACGCUAAGUAUUUUGUGAAAUCUCCCUGCUCAACGGGGAGAGCGCGAAGUAAACUGGCGAGCUAGAGGACGGUA